GAUGAACGCUAGCGACAGGCUUAACACAUGCAAGUCGAGGGGCAGCAUGAGGUAGCAAUACCUUGAUGGCGACCGGCGCACGGGUGAGUAACGCGUAUGCAACCUGCCCGAUACCGGGGUAUAGCCCAUGGAAACGUGGAUUAACACCCCAUAGUACUUUUAUCCUGCAUGGGAUGUGAGUCAAAUGUUCAAGGUAUCGGAUGGGCAUGCGUCCUAUUAGUUAGUUGGCGGGGUUAACAGCCCACCAAGACGAUGAUAGGUAGGGGUUCUGAGAGGAAGGUCCCCCACAUUGGAACUGAGACACGGUCCAAACUCCUACGGGAGCAGCAGUGAGGAAUAUUGGUCAAUGGACGAGAGUCUGAACCAGCCAAGUAGCGUGCAGGAUGACGGCCCUAUGGGUUGUAAACUGCUUUUAUAAGGGAAUAAAGUGAGUCUCGUGAGACUUUUUGCAUGUACCUUAUAGAAUAAGCAUCGGC
RNAcentral lists this ribosomal RNA (476 nucleotides) under uncultured bacterium. RNAcentral's name for it is "bacterial SSU rRNA". It matches the Rfam family "Bacterial small subunit ribosomal RNA", at positions 28 to 497 of the family's 1533-position model. The record is from RNAcentral.